This is a long non-coding RNA of Rosa rugosa (rugosa rose), 1510 nucleotides long. RefSeq lists it as uncharacterized. Lineage: Eukaryota; Viridiplantae; Streptophyta; Magnoliopsida; Rosales; Rosaceae. The record is from RefSeq and is a predicted model, not a curated record. The transcript is spliced from 3 exons.
CCCCCCUUUCUAUCUCACUCUCUCUCUCCACAAUUCUCUUCAACAAACCCUGACCCCGGCAACCGAAAAGCAAAACUAACUCUGCCUUAGAUCCCUUCCCAUCCUCUCUCUCUCAAUUCCAUCUACUUUUUUUCAAUAACGAUGUGUCGUCCUCCGAUUCCCUUCUAGAUCCCUAUUCACUCUCUGUUGAAUUCACAAUCCCCAAUUUUCUAGGGUUUCAAUUUUCAAUCUCAAGAGGAGAAUGGUGAAGCGGAAGGCGUCAUGGCGGAGGAGGAUGUUCUCCUCACCAUCACUGACCCCAAUCCAAGCGGUCGUCAUCCUCUCUGUCGAUGUAACCUGGGUUCCCAAUGUCGCUAAUCCUUCAAAAGCUUCAAGGUAGGCGUACGACUCCUUGGGGAUAGAGGGAACAAGGGCUUACAACUGCUGGGCUCUUCAACUCCUGUUUCUGGUUAGUUUGGAACUCUCGAGACCUCGACCCAUUUUGUUCAACCCAAGCCUGGGACGGAGACCGAACUUCCUCUUCCAAUUUCGGCCACCUCUGAUCAACGGACCACUGGCAUUAGGACCAUCUCGCGAUGCCUAUAGCUUGGGUUUCCACCAACGAGCUCCAACGAAGCCAAUUCGAAGCUGAGAAAUUUCUACGGCUCCAGCUGCUCCUCUGCAUUUUCCGGCGACUUCGGUAGCCGAUGACGACAUGCAAGGUAAGGAAAUUAGUCUUCUCUUCGAGCUCUACGUCUGGUAUAUUUAGUUUUUGAUUUUGGUUGAGUUCUGAACGAAUUGAUAUAUUUGGUGUCAUUGGGCUUCGUCGGAGUUCACUACUCGCAGCGGGUGUCUCCUGUUCUUACCGGUUAAAGAAGAAACUUGAACCUCUACAGUUUAAUUGAAAGAGUCAUAUAUGGAGAAACGAUUGAGACUACUUCGAGUCAAGGUAAACCAUUCUUGGCAUAUUCUUGUGAUUUUGAAGUUGGGUUGUCAAUCUAAACCUAACUGCCAUGUUGUAAAUUGAAUGGUUGAGUUUGGAGGAAAACGCAGAAAUACGAAGGGAAUGGGACCCAGAAGCUAGAGGAUGAAGAGAAGUGGGAACCUAUAUUUUUAGGCUCUGCUCGUGGAUUAUUAAUGAAGAUUUCACAUGAAAGGUUGCUGCAGGUUGUUACAUACUCCAAAACCCAAAUUGGGUUUUAGACAGAAAACUGAAUAUAAAAGUUUCUAGGUAUAUCUUGAGUCAUUGAUUACCAGAUUUUCACCAUGGGGGGAGCUUGUUCUAGGAAGAGAAACCAUCGAGAUGAUGAAGAUAAUUUUCCUAGAGGGAUUUCCAGAAGAUAUUAAAAAAGUGGGAGUUCAAAGUGCUUGGCAACCUCCUUCUCUCGACCUGCUAUAGAUAUUCAACAUGAAAAAGGGCAAUGCCCAUCCCUCAUGGACUUCUACGUACGGCAAAUAUGUGAGCGUGCAAGUGCCAAGGAACUGCUAAAGCACUGCUUUAUUAGGACUGCUAGGAAGAGUCCAAGACUUG